This 484-nucleotide ribosomal RNA is filed under the name uncultured bacterium. RNAcentral's name for it is "partial 16S ribosomal RNA". It matches the Rfam family "Bacterial small subunit ribosomal RNA", at positions 28 to 523 of the family's 1533-position model. The record is from RNAcentral.
GAUGAACGCUGGCGGCGUGCUUAACACAUGCAAGUCGAACGAGAGAAGAUUGGUGCUUGCACUGAUCCGAUCGAGUGGCGGACGGGUGAGUAACGCGUGGGUAACCUGCCUCAUACAGGGGAAUAACAGUUGGGAACGGCUGCUAAAACCGCAUAAGCGCACAGUAUCGCAUGAUACAGUGUGAAAAACUCCGGUGGUAUGAGAUGGACCCGCGUCUGAUUAGCUAGUUGGUGAGGUAACGGCCCACCAAGGCAACGAUCAGUAGCCGGCCUGCGAGGGUGAACGGCCACAUUGGGACUGAGACACGGCCCAAACUCCUACGGGAGGCAGCAGUGGGGAAUAUUGCACAAUGGGGGAAACCCUGAUGCAGCGACGCCGCGUGAGUGAUGAAGUAUUUCGGUAUGUAAAGCUCUAUCAGCAGGGAAGAUAAUGACGGUACCUGACUAAGAAGCACCGGCUAAAUACGUGCCAGCCGCCGCAGUAA